Small nucleolar RNA from Rattus norvegicus (Norway rat), 125 nucleotides. Ensembl annotates it as small nucleolar RNA SNORA17. The record is from Ensembl. Lineage: Eukaryota; Metazoa; Chordata; Mammalia; Rodentia; Muridae.
UCUGACCUGAUUGUACUGCAGGUGUGGCUGUUGUGUUACAUGUGUAGGUGGCAGAGAGAAGAGAGGCUGUGGCUACACUCAGUGUUCCAACUUAGGAACAUUGGAAUUAUUGGCAGCCUAACACU